UAACGCGUGAGGAACCUGCCUUGAAGAGGGGGACAACAGUUGGAAACGACUGCUAAUACCGCAUGACGCAUAGAGGUCGCAUGAUCUUUAUGCCAAAGAUUUAUCGCUUCAAGAUGGCCUCGCGUCUGAUUAGCUAGUUGGCGGGGUAACGGCCCACCAAGGCGACGAUCAGUAGCCGGACUGAGAGGUCGAACGGCCACAUUGGGACUGAGAUACGGCCCAGACUCCUACGGGAGGCAGCAGUGGGGAAUAUUGGGCAAUGGGCGCAAGCCUGACCCAGCAACGCCGCGUGAAGGAAGAAGGCUUUCGGGUUGUAAACUUCUUUUAAGAGGGAAGAGCAGAAGACGGUACCUCUAGAAUAAGCCACGGCUAACUACGUGCCAGCAGCCGCGGUAAUACGUAGGUGGCAAGCGUUGUCCGGAUUUACUGGGUGUAAAGGGCGUGCAGCCGGGUCUGCAAGUCAGAUGUGAAAUCCAUGGGCUCAACCCAUGAACUGCAUUUGAAACUGUAGAUCUUGAGUGUCGGAGGGGCAAUCGGAAUUCCUAGUGUAGCGGUGAAAUGCGUAGAUAUUAGGAGGAACACCAGUGGCGAAGGCGGAUUGCUGGACGAUAACUGACGGUGAGGCGCGAAAGUGUGGGGAGCAAACAGGAUUAGAUACCCUGGUAGUCCACACUGUAAACGAUGAAUACUAGGUGU
Molecule: ribosomal RNA, 696 nt
Filed under: uncultured bacterium
Lineage: Bacteria
Description: bacterial SSU rRNA
Rfam family: Bacterial small subunit ribosomal RNA
Source: RNAcentral